UAGGGAAUCUUCCACAAUGGACGCAAGUCUGAUGGAGCAACGCCGCGUGAGUGAAGAAGGUCUUCGGNUCGUAAAACUCUGUUGUUAGAGAAGAACACGAGUGAGAGUAACUGUUCAUUCGAUGACGGUAUCUAACCAGCAAGUCACGGCUAACUACGUGUCAG
RNAcentral lists this ribosomal RNA (164 nucleotides) under uncultured bacterium. Its description in RNAcentral is "partial 16S rRNA". It matches the Rfam family "Bacterial small subunit ribosomal RNA", at positions 355 to 511 of the family's 1533-position model. The record is from RNAcentral.